RNAcentral lists this ribosomal RNA (253 nucleotides) under uncultured bacterium. RNAcentral's name for it is "partial 16S ribosomal RNA". It matches the Rfam family "Bacterial small subunit ribosomal RNA", at positions 524 to 776 of the family's 1533-position model. The record is from RNAcentral.
UACAGAGGGUGCGAGCGUUAAUCGGAAUUACUGGGCGUAAAGGGCGCGUAGGCGGCCUUCUAAGUCAGACGUGAAAUCCCCCGGCUUAACCUGGGAACUGCGUCUGAUACUGGAGGGCUUGAGUGCGGGAGAGGGAUGUGGAAUUCCAGGUGUAGCGGUGAAAUGCGUAGAUAUCUGGAGGAACACCGGUGGCGAAGGCGGCAUCCUGGACCGACACUGACGCUGAGGCACGAAAGCGUGGGGAGCAAACAGG